GUGGUUGUGGCUCAGUGGUAGAGCGCUCACCUAGCAUGUGUGAGGCCCUGGAUUCGAUCCUCAGCAUCACA
This 71-nucleotide transfer RNA is filed under the name Marmota marmota marmota (Alpine marmot). It matches the Rfam family "tRNA". Rfam says of the family: Transfer RNA (tRNA) molecules are approximately 80 nucleotides in length. Their secondary structure includes four short double-helical elements and three loops (D, anti-codon, and T loops). Further hydrogen bonds mediate the characteristic L-shaped molecular structure. tRNAs have two regions of fundamental functional importance: the anti-codon, which is responsible for specific mRNA codon recognition, and the 3' end, to which the tRNAs corresponding amino acid is attached (by aminoacyl-tRNA synthetases). tRNAs cope with the degeneracy of the genetic code in two manners: having more than one tRNA (with a specific anti-codon) for a particular amino acid; and 'wobble' base-pairing, i.e. permitting non-standard base-pairing at the 3rd anti-codon position. The record is from Rfam by way of RNAcentral. RNAcentral also lists the same sequence under 1 other name. Lineage: Eukaryota; Metazoa; Chordata; Mammalia; Rodentia; Sciuridae.